AUCUAGAGUGUUAAGUCUGCUGCUGCUGCUGCUGCUGCUGCUAAGUCUAGAAAAGAUCAAACACAGAAUCCAACUGUCUUGGAUGAAAUCCAGUCUCAGUAGCCUCUCUUUCAAGACUCCUCAGAAGAGAGUGCAUGCCCAGUGCUCAAUCAAAAUGGCACAGAUCUCAAGUUCUCCCCUCCGCCACUGCUUCUUCCUUGAAGACAACUCCCAGUCCUGACUUAUCACUGGAGAUUCCAGCUGAAUGCAUAAGGACACACGUACUUAACACCAGCCACAAUUUACGUUGGAAGAAAGAGGAGACCACUUGGAGAAUAAAGGAGAAAGAGCCAACACACACUCAGCGUGGGACUGCCAACCAUGAGCUUGAUUCGGCCUUUGAGACGUUUCAUUUCGCAAGCUGAGAUUACAAUAGCAAGCGUGUACCCAUAUUCGUGCUAAAACCUUAUUCAUGAACCUGCUGUUCUGCUGUAAUGAUGGAAAGCUAGACUCAUUCCAAGUAGAGGAGUGAGCUACAGCCAACUUUCGAUUAAUGAAGGACAGCUGAUCGGACUUGGAGCUCCUCUGGGGGUCCGGCAGGGCCACAUUUCUGUCACAUGCACCAUUUUAUUCUCCGCUUUCCUGCACUGAGGCAGAUCCUGGGAAGGAGCCAUAAAUUACUUUCGAUCACGCACAUGCCAUCAGUCGGUUGGAGGAGAUGGGAUGUUGAUCUGCCUCUUUGGGGAAAAGGAGGCAGCUAGAUUGACCCUCAACCAUCUCUAGAUGCUUCAAUUGUCAUCUUCUGCUUGUCUCCUCCUCGCUCUUCCUUUCCUCUCCUUCUGCUCCGGAUUGCAGCUAAGGAUCUAAAGAAGUAAAGAAGUUUAGGCUUGAAUGC
This is a long non-coding RNA of Capra hircus (goat), 874 nucleotides long. RefSeq lists it as uncharacterized. Lineage: Eukaryota; Metazoa; Chordata; Mammalia; Artiodactyla; Bovidae. The record is from RefSeq and is a predicted model, not a curated record. The transcript is spliced from 3 exons.